RNAcentral lists this ribosomal RNA (511 nucleotides) under uncultured bacterium. RNAcentral's name for it is "partial 16S ribosomal RNA". It matches the Rfam family "Bacterial small subunit ribosomal RNA", at positions 28 to 523 of the family's 1533-position model. The record is from RNAcentral.
GACGAACGCUGGCGGCGUGCCUAAUACAUGCAAGUCGAGCGGAUUGAUGGGAGCUUGCUCCCUGAUAUCAGCGGCGGACGGGUGAGUAACACGUGGGCAACCUGCCUAUAAGACUGGGAUAACUUCGGGAAACCGGAGCUAAUACCGGAUAAUCCCUCUCCUCUCAUGAGGAAAGGCUGAAAGAUGGUUUACGCUAUCACUUAUAGAUGGGCCCGCGGCGCAUUAGCUAGUUGGUGAGGUAACGGCUCACAAAGGCAACGAUGCGUAGCCGACCUGAGAGGGUGAUCGGCCACACUGGGACUGAGACACGACCCAGACUCCUACCGGAGGCAGCAGUAGGGAAUCUUCCGCAAUGGACGAAAGUCUGACGGAGCAACGCCGCGUGAGUGAUGAAGGUUUUCGGAUCGUAAACUCUGUUGUUAGGGAAGAACAAGUACGAGAGUAACUGCUCGUACCUUGACGGUACCUAACCAGAAAGCCACGGCUAACUACGUGCCAGCAGCCGCGGUAA